RNAcentral lists this ribosomal RNA (479 nucleotides) under Escherichia coli. Its description in RNAcentral is "partial 23S ribosomal RNA". It matches the Rfam family "Bacterial large subunit ribosomal RNA", at positions 1426 to 1890 of the family's 2925-position model. The record is from RNAcentral. Lineage: Bacteria; Pseudomonadati; Pseudomonadota; Gammaproteobacteria; Enterobacterales; Enterobacteriaceae.
CAGGUUAAUAUUCCUGUACUUGGUGUUACUGCGAAGGGGGGACGGAGAAGGCUAUGUUGGCCGGGCGACGGUUGUCCCGGUUUAAGCGUGUAGGCUGGUUUUCCAGGCAAAUCCGGAAAACUAAGGCUGAGGCGUGAUGACGAGGCACUACGGUGCUGAAGCAACAAAUGCCCUGCUUCCAGGAAAAGCCUCUAAGCAUCAGGUAACAUCAAAUCGUACCCCAAACCGACACAGGUGGUCAGGUAGAGAAUACCAAGGCGCUUGAGAGAACUCGGGUGAAGGAACUAGGCAAAAUGGUGCCGUAACUUCGGGAGAAGGCACGCUGAUAUGUAGGUGAAGUCCCUCGCGGAUGGAGCUGAAAUCAGUCGAAGAUACCAGCUGGCUGCAACUGUUUAUUAAAAACACAGCACUGUGCAAACACGAAAGUGGACGUAUACGGUGUGACGCCUGCCCGGUGCCGGAAGGUUAAUUGAUGGGGU